UUUAAACAGUUUGUAAAGUCUAUAAACAAGUCAUUUCAACAUAAAAUAAGGUUCAUAAAAACAUGGGGUCCUUUGAAAGGUGUCGGAAUCCUCAUUGGCUUAGGUCUACGCUCUCCUCUAAAUUCAGUAUUGUUCAGAUAAUUCUCUCGUUUACAAACAAAAAAUAUGUGAAUUAAUGAUGGGCACUUGUAAAAAUAAUUAGAAUAUAAAAAGGGGAUCGAGUUUUAUCAUAGCGAAAUCAUGAUUACUAGAAUCGCUACAUGCCACCAUACGUGUGUCCUUUGUUCACCAUGCGUUGUUGCCAGAGUGUCACAGCUACCACACAUGCCGGUGGAACCAGUAGGCACCAGUAGAACCACCCACACGUCGCCAUGCUUCAGCCGGAACUCAUCACAGAAUGAGUUGCACGUGCAGAUCCAACAUGUACAUGGUAAAAUCGCACCAAAGGAGCAAGGAGUAUGCGGGAUCGCAUGACCAACCAUUGCGAAUCUCCUUCUUCUUCGGCUGCUAAUCGUCGCGGGUCUCCUUUUUUCUUGGUCGUGCGCCAAGUCCUUUCAUUUUUUUGGAUUCACACGGCUGUCGACUAUACAGAUCUGGUCAUCGCACGCACCAGACCCACCUUCUCUCUCUCUCUCUCUCUCUCUUUCUUUCCUAAGUUGUUUUCUCUCUUUUCGUGAUCCACUCUCUCUCUCUCAUUUUCAAAAUUUUCAUUUUUCCUUUAAUAGACGGGAGGACGGAGAGCCCUACACGCCUCUUCUUCCUUCUUCUUCGGUGUGCAGGUUCUUACUUCGUCCUCAUCUGGCGGCCAAAGGCGUACACGCCUCUAGUUGCCCUAAUUUUUUUUUCUUUUUCUAUGACCAAAACGACAUUGUUUUGAUGCUCUCAAAACAACGUCGUUUCACCUAUUUUUAUUUUUCAUUCAUUCGCAUCAAAACGAUGUCAUUUUUGAAGUUUCCCAAAACAACGUUAUUUUGGCUUUUCUUACUUUUAAGAAACAAAUAAAUUGGGUUUGUUUUUCUUGGACCG
This 1026-nucleotide long non-coding RNA is filed under the name Carica papaya (papaya). RNAcentral describes it as "long non-coding RNA (CPAP_LNC008375)". Lineage: Eukaryota; Viridiplantae; Streptophyta; Magnoliopsida; Brassicales; Caricaceae. The record is from RNAcentral.